This is a long non-coding RNA of Megalopta genalis, 674 nucleotides long. RefSeq lists it as uncharacterized. The record is from RefSeq and is a predicted model, not a curated record. NCBI's taxonomy places the organism in Eukaryota, Metazoa, Arthropoda, Insecta, Hymenoptera, Halictidae.
UGAACAGACACACUAAUAGAUUCUUAUUCAGUACGUCGCAGAUGCGGCAAACUUUCAAUUCAGCGUUUACAAAACCGAAAUGUUGCGUUGUACGAAUUUUUAUGCGGCGAAUGGUUGGCGCAUAAAUGCCGGAAAUCUGUUUGAAAAAAGCUUGUCGCUUGACUGAAUCGAAGAAUGGGACAAGAAAAGUACUUACGCCGACAUAAGAAUCGUCGAGAGGUUUUCGCUUAUCGUUGCGAUUAGUUGAUCCUAGACCCAAGGACGUCCAAGAUGUAGACCAUCGUACAGAAUCUUUACCUGGAGUGUCGCCGCCGGAUGCCAUAGAUACCACGCCUUCUCGAGUUCGAUUAGCCGUCGACACGGUGACAUCCUUGAAACACGGAUUGUCGAAGGCAUAGGCUUCUUCAACGAUCUCUGGGUCCGUUACGAGUACCAGAUGUUUCCCUGAACAAAUUUUUGUUAAGCAUUUAUUUUCUACUUGAACUCGCUAGAAAGAUCCUUAGACUGUGAAUUUUUCUAUUGUCUUAAUUUCUAUCGUCUCUGUCUCUCUUACAAUUUUUACUACAUUUUUAUCCAAUUUUUACUACUUAUGGUUGAAGUACGUUUAAAAGUUUUCAGCUGAAUAAUGUAGGUAACAAAGAAUGGUUAAUAAAAAUUACUGGAAUUAAUGACUA